Long non-coding RNA from Apus apus (common swift), 274 nucleotides. RefSeq lists it as uncharacterized. The transcript has 4 exons. The record is from RefSeq and is a predicted model, not a curated record. Lineage: Eukaryota; Metazoa; Chordata; Aves; Apodiformes; Apodidae.
ACUGUGGAUGGGUUCAAGCUAAUGUCCGUGCUGCUUUGUGCUCUCCUAUGCAGAGUGUAGCUGAACAGCUCCUGAAUAAGAUGAAGAGUGCACUUCAAUAUGUUUCUAGUCAUGGAGGGUUUUUUUCAGUGUGCUGAGACUUCUAGCAUUGAGACUGAGCUAUUAAAGUAAUGGUUGUUUCUGUUUCCUGCAGUGUGAUUUGUGUAUGGAUGAUGUGCCAAGGGAGAUAUGCUUUGAAGAAUUAGAAACAAGAUGCAAGUAACAUAAAGUUAAG